CCCUACGGGGCGCAGCAGGCGCGAAAACUUUACAAUGCUGGAAACAGCGAUAAGGGGACCUCGAGUGUCAGGUUACAAAUCUGGCUGUCGUGAUGCCUAAAAAGCAUUGCAUAGCAAGGGCCGGGCAAGACCGGUGCCAGCCGCCGCGGUAACACCGGCGGCUCGAGUGGUAACCGUUAUUAUUGGGUCUAAAGGGUCUGUAGCCGGCCGGAUAAGUCUCUUGGGAAAUCUGGCAGCUUAACUGUCAGGCUUUCAGGAGAUACUGUCUGGCUCGAGGCCGGGAGAGGUGAGAGGUACUUCAGGGGUAGGGGUGAAAUCCUGUAAUCC
Molecule: ribosomal RNA, 327 nt
Filed under: uncultured archaeon
Lineage: Archaea
Description: bacterial SSU rRNA
Rfam family: Archaeal small subunit ribosomal RNA
Source: RNAcentral